GGAAGUAAAAGUCGUAACAAGGUUUCCGUAGGUGAACCUGCGGAAGGAUCAUUCAUAAUCAAGUGUUUUUAUGGCACUUUCAAAAAUCCAUAUCCACCUUGUGUGCAAUGUCAUCUCUCUGGGGGCUGCCGGUUGUCAAAAGCCGUGUGGUCACCUUUGGGAUUUAUAUCUACUCAGAACUUUAGUGAUUUUGUCUGAAACAUAUUAUGAAUACUUAAUUCAAAAUACAACUUUCAACAACGGAUCUCUUGGCUCUCGCAUCGAUGAAGAACGCAGCGAAAUGCGAUACGUAAUGUGAAUUGCAGAAUUCAGUGAAUCAUCGAAUCUUUGAACGCAUAUUGCGCUCUCUGGUAUUCCGGAGAGCAUGCUUGUUUGAGUAUCAGUAAACACCUCAACUUCCAUAUCUUUUUUUGAAAUGGGAGUUGGACUUGAGUGAUCCCAACGCUUUUCCUCACCGAAAAGUGGCGGGUUACUUGAAAUGCAGGUGCAGCUGGACUUUUCUCUGAGCUAUAAGCAUAUCUAUUUAGUCUGCCUAAAAAACAGAUUAUUACCUUUGCUGCAGCUAACAUAAAGGAGAUUAGUUCUUGUGCUGACUGAUGCAGGAUUCACAAAGACAGGCUUCGGCCGACUUUGUAAACUCGAUCUCAAAUCAAGUAAGACUACCCGCUGAACUUAAGCAUAUCAAUAAGCGGAGGA
Molecule: ribosomal RNA, 696 nt
Filed under: Mortierella alpina
Lineage: Eukaryota; Fungi; Mortierellomycota; Mortierellomycetes; Mortierellales; Mortierellaceae
Description: eukaryotic LSU rRNA
Rfam family: 5.8S ribosomal RNA (bases 229-382)
Source: RNAcentral